Molecule: RNA transcript, 729 nt
Organism: Bactrocera tryoni
Lineage: Eukaryota; Metazoa; Arthropoda; Insecta; Diptera; Tephritidae
Gene name: transmembrane inner ear expressed protein
Exons: 4
Source: RefSeq, a predicted model, not a curated record
CCGAAAAAUCUGCAACUUAGUCUACCAUACCAAAUUGAAAAUAUACAUAUACAUGUAGACCGUAAAACAGUAUUUAAAACAUUGAAAAUAUCAAAAAAUUUCGUGUAUAUAUUGUUUAAAAAUACAAAUCUGAAAUUAAGUUCACGUGUUUAAACUUCCGAUAAUCAAUACUUCGAGGCAACUCUUCAAAUAUCACUAAAGUUAGUCAAAUCUACUCAGCCUACUUACCAUAUUGGCAAUGAACGUGGAAGAGGAUCCCGAACCUGUGUGGCUGGAAACAGUUACUAUUGGCGGUUUUCGUGUUUGGCAUAUAAUUGCGAUUUGUCUGGGAAUAUCAUUAAGUAUAUUAAUUAUGGUCUGCUGUUGUAUACGAUUUCGGAUACCACGCACCAAACAGGAAAUAGAGGCAGAUUAUCAGCGUAAACAAAUCACGAAGAAAUUUCGAGAAAAACUUCAGCAAAUCAAAAAUUCUGACAUGGACGAAAUGGACCUGCAAAAAGCACUACAUUCUAUCAAAUUGGAAGAGUUUGAAGUGCCAUAACAUCCCUACACAUUCUCUACAUCCGCCUGCAUGUCUUUGCUUUGUGCUUGUAUAUGUCGGUCCUUUACAUACAUAUAUCAAGCGAUUUUAAACGAAAAUCCAUCGCGCAUAUUCAGGCGGAUUAUUUAUCGGCACAAAACAGCUGUGGCACCAGCGACGCUGACAAUACAACCAAAGAUCCAUAUGGC